GCUGCCCAGUUUCAAAAAUGAACGGUCACUCUGGUUGCUGGAGCAGGUCUUUCAGAUGGCAGCUCAGCCAAAUAGAAUAUUUGGUGAUUUUCUCGAAUGAGUCACCACGCACAGCAGUUUUUGGAGGACAAGUCACCUUUGGACUAGUUGGAGGGCUUGAUUUUUCUUUAUUCUUUUUCUUUAAGGGUCCGCUAUCUUCACGUCUUGGCCAGAAUAAGGUGGGAGAGAGAGAGGACAAGGGCAGCAGCAGCAUACACACGAAAUGUAUUCUAAUAGGCAGCAGAGAGUCAAACAUCUUUGAAAAAGAAUAAGAGAGAAGAGGGCCAGCGACGAGCAAGCGCGAGGUUCUUCGUUUUAUGGCUGGCGUCAGAUGUGCAUAUGCAUCUCUUCUCCUUCUCUCUGAAACUGCUGAUGGCGACUAGAGUCAGAUUGUGGCCUUAUAUGGUCAAGGAAUAUCCCCACCACCAUGCACGACCAUCACUUGGUUUAUUCUCUACUGCUGGGCUCUGCUCUCACGGCUCGCAACGGAACCUCGUCCUAUAUAAAUUCCCCCCACCACCACAUCUCUGCUUUCCAUCUUUCUCUUUCUAUAUACUGACAUUUUUUCACUUCUUCUUCUUCGUCUUCUCAUUCGUCCUUUCUCUCUUUCACUGCGCGCAGCGUUGCCACACGACUUUUUGGGGGCCACCGCCGGCUGCUGGCUGCGUGACUCGACCGUUCGACUGAAUCACCUCAGAUUAUUCUCUGAACGUGCAACACGACAUCUAUACCCCAGCACCAACUCUUAUAUAUGUUUGCUACACAUCUUUCGAGCUAUCGAGUCCUUUUGAUGACGGUCUUUUGGCUGUUGGAGUUGAUCUGACGGCAUGUAUAAUAAGCAGAGCGACUACUCUAUAUACAUUGCGGGAGUCGUUCCGAGAAUUCCCGCACAAUCACCUUGACGUGUUCUGGAAAAUUAGUCAUCGGCCAGUUAUCACCUCUACCGAUUUGGAGCUAACAGACGAUUACCAUCGCGCCCACUCGCGUGAUUGGCCUGUCCGAAUACAAGCAGGUGGUGGCCUCAUCUUGUAUCGUCUUGUAUGUAUACCUAAUAGAAAAUCGGUCGCCGUUUUUUUGUGCGUGUGUCUGGAUGUUAAAGAGACAUCCCAGCAGAUGAAACAUCGCAAACUUUCACUUCUCUGGAAAGUUCACGCUAUAUGUGUGAUUAUCUCCUUUUUGUGUCUAUUUUUCUGAUCGUACUGUGAAUAUAAGCUCCUUGUUAUUGGCCGUGUUAUGUAGCCUAAUUGAAUGUAACACGAAAUCUCU
This is a long non-coding RNA of Daphnia pulicaria, 1305 nucleotides long. RefSeq lists it as uncharacterized. Lineage: Eukaryota; Metazoa; Arthropoda; Branchiopoda; Diplostraca; Daphniidae. The record is from RefSeq and is a predicted model, not a curated record. The transcript is spliced from 2 exons.